Molecule: ribosomal RNA, 312 nt
Filed under: Triticum aestivum (bread wheat)
Lineage: Eukaryota; Viridiplantae; Streptophyta; Magnoliopsida; Poales; Poaceae
Description: partial small subunit ribosomal RNA
Source: RNAcentral
AUUCAACUGUCAGGCGAAUCAGACAAGUUCCAAUGGAAUUUGCAUCAGAACGGUAGCUUUUGAGACAAAUCCUUGUAUGAUGCAAUGGUUCACACUGAUGUUCCGGUUGAUAACAAAAAAUUGUGAAAGCUCAAAAUUCCUCUUAGAGUGAAGAUAUUUCUCUGGUUUCUAAACAAAGGGGUCAUCUUAACUAAAGAUAACCUGGCACGACGCAACUGGCAAGGUAGCAAGACAUGUGUCUUUUGCCAACAUGACAAGUCCAUCAAACACUUAUUUUUGAGUGUAAGUUUGCUCGUGCAGUCUGGGCCAUAG